Molecule: ribosomal RNA, 253 nt
Filed under: uncultured bacterium
Lineage: Bacteria
Description: partial 16S ribosomal RNA
Rfam family: Bacterial small subunit ribosomal RNA
Source: RNAcentral
UACGAAGGGGGCUAGCGUUGUUCGGAAUUACUGGGCGUAAAGCGCACGUAGGCGGAUAUUUAAGUCAGGGGUGAAAUCCCAGAGCUCAACUCUGGAACUGCCUUUGAUACUGGGUAUCUCGAGUCCGGAAGAGGUGAGUGGAAUUCCUAGUGUAGAGGUGAAAUUCGUAGAUAUUAGGAAGAACACCAGUGGCGAAGGCGGCUCACUGGUCCGGUACUGACGCUGAGGUGCGAAAGCGUGGGGAGCAAACAGG